Molecule: long non-coding RNA, 263 nt
Filed under: Olea europaea (common olive)
Lineage: Eukaryota; Viridiplantae; Streptophyta; Magnoliopsida; Lamiales; Oleaceae
Description: long non-coding RNA (OEUR_LNC003748)
Source: RNAcentral
GAAAUGAUUUUUUGUGUAUUUGAGAGAUGGGGUGUUUUUGGGAAAGAGAACUUGCCAUUUGGACCUCCGACUUGGUUGUAGCUGAGAAUUUGUCAUCUCCAAAAGUUUUGAUAUUUCACCAGCAACUGUUGAUAAUUAAUUGGAUUCUGAUGUUAUGAGGAAAAAAGUCGAUUUAACGCUAAGGGUUUUACUUAAAUUUUCUAUUCUCAAAUAAAGAGUUGGUUCGAAUUUAAUUUUGUGAGGCUUAUGUAUAUUUUAUUGAU